Molecule: non-coding RNA, 153 nt
Organism: Actinobacteria bacterium BACL2 MAG-121220-bin52
Lineage: Bacteria; Bacillati; Actinomycetota; Actinomycetes
Source: Rfam
CGCUUUAGCCACUUUCCUGAUUAAUUAGCCCACACAACUUAAUAGCUCUUUGGAAUGGGGAAGUCGGUGAAAAUCCGACGCUGACCCGCAACCGUGAGCCUGCUUGAGAAUUAGCAGGUAAGUCGGAUUACCACCCAAGAAGCAUCUUUACCA